GGUUUGAUUAUGGCUCAGAUUGAACGCUGGCGGGAUGUUUCUUACACAUGCAAGUCGAAACGGCAGCACGACUUCGGUCUGGUGGCGAGUGGCGAACGGGUGAGUAAUGUAUCGGAACGUGCUUAGUAGCGGGGGAUAACUACGUGAGCGUAGCUAAUACCGCAUACGCCCUUCGGGGAAAGCGGGGACCUUCGGGCCUCGCACCAUUAGGAGCGGCCGAUAUCGGAUUAGCUAGUUGGUGGGGUAACGGCUCACCAAGGCGACGAUCCGUAGCUGGUUUGAGAGGACGACCAGCCACACUGGGACUGAGACACGGCCCAGACUCCUACGGAGGCAGCAGUGGGGAAUUUUGGACAAUGGGGAAACCCUGAUCCAGCCAUCCCGCGUGUGCGAUGAAGGCCUUCGGGUUGUAAAGCACUUUGGCAGGAAAGAAACGGCACGGGAUAAUACCCUGUGCAACUGACGGUACCUGCAGAAUAAGCACCGGCUAACUACGUGCCAGCAGCCGCGGUAAUACGUAGGGUGCAAGCGUUAAUCGGAAUUACUGGGCGUAAAAGCGUGCGCAGGCGGUUCGGAAAGAAAGAUGUGAAAUCCCAGAGCUUAACUUUGGAACUGCAUUUUUAACUACCGAGCUAGGAGGUGGCCGAGGAGGUGGAAUUCCGCGUGUAGCAGUGAAAUGCGUAGAUAUGCGGAGGAACACCGAUGGCGAAGGCAGCCUCCUGGGAUAACACUGACGCCUGCACGAAAGCGGGGAGCAAACAGGAUUAGAUAACUCUGGUAGUCCACGCCCUAAACGAUGUCAACUAGCUGUUGGGGCCUUCGCCUUGGUAGCGCGCAGCUAACGUGAAGUUGACCGCCUGGGGAGUACGGUCGCAAGAUUAAAACUCAAAGGAAUUGAUGGACCCGCACAAGCGGUAAUAUGGAUUAAUCUGGAUGCAACGCGAAAACCUUACCUACCCUUGACAUGUUCGGGAAUCCCGAAGAGAUUUGGGAGUGCUUCCGUAAGAAUCGGAAAACACAGAAAGCGAUGGCUGAAGUCGGUCACGCGUCGUGAGAUGUUGGGUUAAGUCCUGCAACGAGCGCAACCUUGUCAUUAGUUAAGCAUGAAAGGGCACUCUAAUGAGACUGCCGGUGACAAACCGGAGGAAGGUGGGGAUGACGUCAAGUCCUCAUGGCCCUUAUGGGUAGGCUUCAUUGUCAUACAAUGGUCGGGACGAGGGUCGCUAACCCGCGAGGGGGUCAAUCCCAGAAACCCGAUCAGUCUCGACUAGUUCGUAACCUGACUGCGUGAAGAACGCUAGUAAUCGCGGAUCAGCAUGUCGCGGUGAAUACGUUCCCGGUCUUGUACACCGCCCGUCACACCAUGGGAGUGGGUUUUACCAGAAGUAGUUAGCCUAACCGUAAGGAGGGCAUUUACUACGGUAGGGAUCUAUGACUGGGGUGAAGUCGUAACAAAGGUAAACU
Molecule: ribosomal RNA, 1464 nt
Filed under: uncultured Bordetella sp.
Lineage: Bacteria; Pseudomonadati; Pseudomonadota; Betaproteobacteria; Burkholderiales; Alcaligenaceae
Description: partial 16S-23S ribosomal RNA intergenic spacer
Rfam family: Bacterial small subunit ribosomal RNA
Source: RNAcentral